ACUAGCUCAUCUGGUAGAGCACUUGACUCAUAAUCAAGCAGUGACGGGUUCAACUCCCGUGUAUAU
RNAcentral lists this transfer RNA (66 nucleotides) under Cyanobacteria bacterium FACHB-472. Its description in RNAcentral is "tRNA-Met". It matches the Rfam family "tRNA", at positions 6 to 65 of the family's 71-position model. From Rfam's summary of the family: Transfer RNA (tRNA) molecules are approximately 80 nucleotides in length. Their secondary structure includes four short double-helical elements and three loops (D, anti-codon, and T loops). RNAcentral also lists the same sequence under 1 other name. Lineage: Bacteria; Bacillati; Cyanobacteriota. The record is from RNAcentral.